RNAcentral lists this ribosomal RNA (454 nucleotides) under uncultured bacterium. RNAcentral's name for it is "bacterial SSU rRNA". It matches the Rfam family "Bacterial small subunit ribosomal RNA", at positions 28 to 478 of the family's 1533-position model. The record is from RNAcentral.
GACGAACGCUGGCGGCGUGCCUAACACAUGCAAGUCGAACGGAACUUUUUUAAAAGAUUUCUUCGGAAUGAAUUUGAUUAAGUUUAGCGGCGGACGGGUGAGUAACGCGUGAGUAACCUGCCUCUAAGAGGGGAAUAACAUUCUGAAAAGAAUGCUAAUACCGCAUAAUAUAUAUUUAUCGCAUGGUAGAUAUAUCAAAGAUUUAUCGCUUAGAGAUGGACUCGCGUCCGAUUAGUUAGUUGGUGAGGUAACGGCUCACCAAGACCGCGAUCGGUAGCCGGACUGAGAGGUUGAACGGCCACAUUGGGACUGAGACACGGCCCAGACUCCUACGGGAGGCAGCAGUGGGGGAUAUUGCGCAAUGGGGGAAACCCUGACGCAGCAACGCCGCGUGAAGGAUGAAGGUCUUCGGAUUGUAAACUUCUUUUAUUAAGGACGAAGAAAGUGACGGUAC